This 454-nucleotide ribosomal RNA is filed under the name uncultured Paludibacter sp. RNAcentral's name for it is "partial 16S ribosomal RNA". It matches the Rfam family "Bacterial small subunit ribosomal RNA", at positions 341 to 792 of the family's 1533-position model. Lineage: Bacteria; Pseudomonadati; Bacteroidota; Bacteroidia; Bacteroidales; Paludibacteraceae. The record is from RNAcentral.
ACGGGAGGCAGCAGUGAGGAAUAUUGGUCAAUGGGCGAGAGCCUGAACCAGCCAAGUCGCGUGAAGGAUGAAGGUUCUAUGGAUUGUAAACUUCUUUUGUUCGAGGGUAAAGUGAUCUACGUGUAGGUUAUUGCAAGUAUCGAACGAAUAAGCAUCGGCUAACUCCGUGCCAGCAGCCGCGGUAAUACGGAGGAUGCGAGCGUUAUCCGGAUUUAUUGGGUUUAAAGGGUGCGUAGGCGGGCUGUUAAGUCAGCGGUGAAACCCCCGGGCUCAACCCGGGGACUGCCAUUGAAACUGGCGGCCUUGAGUACGUUGGGAGUGCGCGGAAUGUGUGGUGUAGCGGUGAAAUGCAUAGAUAUCACACAGAACACCGAUCGCGUAGGCAGCGCACUACGCCGCAACUGACGCUGAGGCACGAAGGCGCGGGGAUCGAACAGGAUUAGAUACCCUGGUA